Molecule: ribosomal RNA, 468 nt
Filed under: uncultured bacterium
Lineage: Bacteria
Description: partial 16S ribosomal RNA
Rfam family: Bacterial small subunit ribosomal RNA
Source: RNAcentral
GACGAACGCUGGCCGCGUGCUCAACACAUGCAAGUCGAACGGAAAUGCCCUUCUUUUGUGGGGUGCUCGAGUGGCGAACGACUAAGUAACCCGUGAUUAACCUGCCCUUGACUUUUCGAUAACUUCAGGAAACUCGGGCUCCUACCGGAUAGGAACUCCUGCUGCAUGGUGGGUGAUGGAAAGUUUCGUCGGAUGGGGAUGGACACACGGCGUAUCAGCUUGUUGGUGGGGUAUGGGCUUACCAAGGCUUUGACGGGUCGCCGGCCUGACAGGGUGACCGGCCACAUUGGGACUGAGAUACUGCCCAGACUCCUACGGGAGGCAGCAGUGGGGAAUAUUGCACAAUGGGCGGAAGCCUGAUGCAGCAACGCCGCUUGCGGGAUGACGGCCUUCGGGUUUUAAACCGCUUUCGCCUGUGGCGAAGCGUGAGUGACGGUAAUGGGUAGAGAAGCACGGGCUGACUACGUG